ACGAACGCUGGCGGCGUGCUUAACACCUGCAAGUCGAACGGAAAGGCCCUGCUUGCAGGGUACUCGAGUGGCGAACGGGUGAGUAACACGUGGGUGAUCUGCCCUGCACUUCGGGAUAAGCCUGGGAAACUGGGUCUAAUACCGGAUAGGAGCCAUUUUUAGUGUGAUGGUUGGAAAGUUUUUUCGGUGUAGGAUGAGCUCGCGGCCUAUCAGCUUGUUGGUGGGGUAAUGGCCUACCAAGGCGGCGACGGGUAGCCGGCCUGAGAGGGUGGACGGCCACAUUGGGACUGAGAUACGGCCCAGACUCCUACGGGAGGCAGCAGUGGGGAAUAUUGCACAAUGGGCGCAAGCCUGAUGCAGCGACGCCGCGUGGGGGAUGACGGCCUUCGGGUUGUAAACUCCUUUCGCUAGGGACGAAGCUUUUCGUGACGGUACCUAGAUAAGAAGCACCGGCUAACUACGUG
RNAcentral lists this ribosomal RNA (464 nucleotides) under uncultured bacterium. RNAcentral's name for it is "partial 16S ribosomal RNA". It matches the Rfam family "Bacterial small subunit ribosomal RNA", at positions 29 to 507 of the family's 1533-position model. The record is from RNAcentral.